This 404-nucleotide ribosomal RNA is filed under the name uncultured bacterium. RNAcentral's name for it is "bacterial SSU rRNA". It matches the Rfam family "Bacterial small subunit ribosomal RNA", at positions 335 to 755 of the family's 1533-position model. The record is from RNAcentral.
ACUCCUACGGGAGGCAGCAGUGGGGAAUCUUAGACAAUGGGGGCAACCCUGAUCUAGCCAUGCCGCGUGAGUGACGAAGGCCUUAGGGUCGUAAAGCUCUUUCGCUGGGGAAGAUAAUGACUGUACCCAGUAAAGAAACCCCGGCUAACUCCGUGCCAGCAGCCGCGGUAAUACGGAGGGUGCGAGCGUUAAUCGGAAUUACUGGGCGUAAAGCGCAUGCAGGCGGCCUGUUAAGUCAGAUGUGAAAGCCCGGGGCUUAACCUCGGAAUUGCAUUUGAAACUGGCAGGCUAGAGUCUUGUAGAGGGGGGUAGAAUUUCAGGUGUAGCGGUGAAAAUGCGUAGAGAUCUGAAGGAAUACCAGUGGCGAAGGCGGCCCCCUGGACAAAGACUGACGCUCAGAUGCG